This 253-nucleotide ribosomal RNA is filed under the name uncultured bacterium. RNAcentral describes it as "partial 16S ribosomal RNA". It matches the Rfam family "Bacterial small subunit ribosomal RNA", at positions 524 to 776 of the family's 1533-position model. The record is from RNAcentral.
UACGUAGGGUGCAAGCGUUAAUCGGAAUUACUGGGCGUAAAGCGCACGCAGGCGGUUCGCCAAGUUUGGAGUGACAGUUGUCGGCUCAACCGAUAAAGGACUUCAAAAACUGGUGAACUUGAGAGCGAGAGAGGAACAUGGAACUCCAGGUGUAGUAGUGAAAUGCGUAGAUAUCUGGAAGAACACCAAAGGCGAAGGCAAUGUUCUGGCUCGUUUCUGACGCUCAGGUGCGAAAGCCAGGGGAGCGAACGGG